UAUUCCCCACUGCUGCCUCCCGUAGGAGUCUGGGCCGUGUCUCAGUCCCAAUGUGGCCGUUCAACCUCUCAGUCCGGCUACCGAUCGUCGCCUUGGUGGGCCGUUACCCCGCCAACAAGCUAAUCGGACGCGAGUCCAUCUCUAAGCGAUAAAUCUUUGAUAUCAGAGUCAUGCGGCUUCAAUAUGUUAUGCGGUAUUAGCGAUCUUUUCAGAACGUUAUUCCCCUCUUAGAGGCAGGUUACUCACGCGUUACUCACCCGUCCGCCACUAAGUUAAAAAUCCGUCAUCCCGAAGGAAUCCGUCAAAAUAACUCCGUUCGACUUGCAUGUGUUAGGCACGCCGCCAGCGUUCAUCCUGAGCCAA
This 363-nucleotide ribosomal RNA is filed under the name uncultured rumen bacterium. RNAcentral's name for it is "partial 16S ribosomal RNA". The record is from RNAcentral.